GAACACCAGUGGCGAAGGCGACUCUCUGGACUGUAACUGACGCUGAGGCUCGAAAGCGUGGGGAGCAAACAGGAUUAGAUACCCUGGUAGUUCACGCCGUAAACGAUGAAUACUAGGUGUGGGGGCUUCAACACCUCCGUGCCGCCGCUAACGCAUUAAGUAUUCCGCCUGGGGAGUACGGUCGCAAGAUUAAAACUCAAAGGAAUUGACGGGGACCCGCACAAGUAGCGGAGCAUGUGGUUUAAUUCGAAGCAACGCGAAGAACCUUACCUACACUUGACAUCCCUUGCAUUACUCUUAAUCGAGGAAAUCCCUUCGGGGACAAGGUGACAGGUGGUGCAUGGUUGUCGUCAGCUCGUGUCGUGAGAUGUUGGGUUAAGUCCCGCAACGAGCGCAACCCUUGUCGUUAGUUACUACCAUUAAGUUGAGGACUCUAGCGAGACUGCCUGGGUUAACCAGGAGGAAGGUGGGGAUGACGUCAAAUCAUCAUGCCCCUUAUGUGUAGGGCUACACACGUGCUACAAUGGCUGGUACAGAGAGAUGCAAUACCGCGAGGUGGAGCCAAACUUAAAAACCAGUCUCAGUUCGGAUUGUAGGCUGAAACUCGCCUACAUGAAGCUGGAGUUACUAGUAAUCGCGAAUCAGAAUGUCGCGGUGAAUACGUUCCCGGGUCUUGUACACACCGCCCGUCACACCAUGAGAGUUGGCAAUACCCGAAGUCCGUGAGCUAACCGCAAGGAGGCAGCGGCCGAAGGUAGGGUC
RNAcentral lists this ribosomal RNA (762 nucleotides) under uncultured organism. RNAcentral's name for it is "SSU rRNA". It matches the Rfam family "Bacterial small subunit ribosomal RNA", at positions 704 to 1469 of the family's 1533-position model. The record is from RNAcentral.